CAGUCAAACCACAUCUUUCCUACCUUGUCUUCCUCACUCCCAAUACCAUGUGCUUAGGAGAGUAUUUCUAUUUUUACUCACAAGAAUGCUGUGUAUUCUGUUUUGGCAGCUGAAGGUGACGAUUUGGGUAGGUGUGAAGUGACGCCAAGAGGAUUUGCAACCCUGGUUGAUAAGUUAAUCAGAUUUGGUCCAAUUGUCAUGGUUCUGGAGGGCGGGUACAAUCUGGAUUCCUUAUCCAGUUCUGUUUCUGCGUGUAUUAAGGUUCUUCUUGGUGAUAGAAACUGUAUCCACUCCAAAUUAACAAGCCUACCCUAUGACACAACAGUAAAGUUGGUUUUGGAGACACGUCAAGCAUUUAAAAACAGAUGGCGUGCCUACUUUCGCUAAUCACGUUUGCAAUAUACUCGAGAAUUCUUUUGGUUUAUUAUAAAAUUUUAGAAUUGGU
Panicum hallii is the source of this 445-nucleotide long non-coding RNA. RefSeq lists it as uncharacterized. The record is from RefSeq and is a predicted model, not a curated record. The transcript is spliced from 3 exons. Lineage: Eukaryota; Viridiplantae; Streptophyta; Magnoliopsida; Poales; Poaceae.